RNAcentral lists this ribosomal RNA (465 nucleotides) under Vreelandella stevensii. Its description in RNAcentral is "partial 16S ribosomal RNA". It matches the Rfam family "Bacterial small subunit ribosomal RNA", at positions 338 to 795 of the family's 1533-position model. The record is from RNAcentral. Lineage: Bacteria; Pseudomonadati; Pseudomonadota; Gammaproteobacteria; Oceanospirillales; Halomonadaceae.
CCUACGGGAGGCUGCAGUGGGGAAUAUUGGACAAUGGGCGAGAGCCUGAUCCAGCCAUGCCGCGUGUGUGAAGAAGGCCUUCGGGUUGUAAAGCACUUUCAGUGGGGAAGAAAGCCUUGGGGCUAAUACCCUCGAGGAAGGACAUCACCCACAGAAGAAGCACCGGCUAACUCCGUGCCAGCAGCCGCGGUAAUACGGAGGGUGCGAGCGUUAAUCGGAAUUACUGGGCGUAAAGCGCGCGUAGGCGGUCUGAUAAGCCGGUUGUGAAAGCCCCGGGCUCAACCUGGGAACGGCAUCCGGAACUGUGAGGCUAGAGUGCAGGAGAGGAAGGUAGAAUUCCCGGUGUAGCGGUGAAAUGCGUAGAGAUCGGGAGGAAUACCAGUGGCGAAGGCGGCCUUCUGGACUGACACUGACGCUGAGGUGCGAAAGCGUGGGUAGCAAACAGGAUUAGAUACCCCGGUAGUC